AGAAUGUCAGCUUUUUGAACUUGAUGAUAUUCCUUUUGAUUCUUUAGCAUUUUCAUCAAUGCUAGUAAGCUUGAAUCUGUACAUAGAAGAUAUUAAAGUUGGAAGACCGAAGUUCCAUUAUGGCGUCAUUAACAAGAGGCCUGGAACAAGCCCUUCUGAUAUCCAUGCUUACACUCUGGAUUUUCAUAUGCAAUCCUGAGAAGCAGAUACAAUAUUUUCAAGCACUAGAAUGCGGUUGGUAUGUUCGUCAAGACUGAAACAGCUCCGGUGUUUUCAUCAAAGCUUUAGUUGUGUACUUGUGGUGAUAGUUCCAUUCUUUCUAAUCACUUAUCUAGUAGUAAAAAGUCUUCCUGAUUUGAGUUGUUCAAAAUUGACUUAUGAUGUGUGCAGACUGAACUUAUAAGAUGGGACACAUCCACAUUCAAUUCAUU
Molecule: unclassified non-coding RNA, 431 nt
Filed under: Hevea brasiliensis (rubber tree)
Lineage: Eukaryota; Viridiplantae; Streptophyta; Magnoliopsida; Malpighiales; Euphorbiaceae
Source: RNAcentral